ACGCUCGACACCUACGGGAGCAGCAGUGGGGAAUAUUGCACAAUGGGGGAAACCCUGAUGCAGCGACGCCGCGUGAGUGAAGAAGUAUUUCGGUAUGUAAAGCUCUAUCAGCAGGGAAGAAAAUGACGGUACCUGAGUAAGAAGCCCCGGCUAACUACGUGCCAGCAGCCGCGGUAAUCUGAGCGGGCGUGGCGAAGGC
This 199-nucleotide ribosomal RNA is filed under the name uncultured bacterium. RNAcentral describes it as "partial 16S ribosomal RNA". It matches the Rfam family "Bacterial small subunit ribosomal RNA", at positions 328 to 538 of the family's 1533-position model. The record is from RNAcentral.